This 486-nucleotide ribosomal RNA is filed under the name uncultured bacterium. Its description in RNAcentral is "bacterial SSU rRNA". It matches the Rfam family "Bacterial small subunit ribosomal RNA", at positions 28 to 548 of the family's 1533-position model. The record is from RNAcentral.
AUUGAACGCUGGCGGCAUGGCUAAAACAUGCAAGUCGAGCGCGAAAGAGGGGCAAUCCUCAAGUAGAGCGGCGAAAGGGUGAGUAAUACGUUCCUACGUACCUCGAGGUCAGGGAUAGCCAGGGGAAACUCUGGGUAAUACCUGAUGUGGUCGAGAGAUCAAAGGCUUGCCGCCUUGAGAGCGGGGAACGUCCUAUCAGCUAGUUGGUGAGGUAACGGCUCACCAAGGCUUUGACGGGUAGCGGGUGUGAGAGCAUGGCCCGCCACAUCGGAACUGAGACACUGUCCGGACUCCUACGGGAGGUUGCAGUAACGAAUCUUCCGCAAUGCGCGCAAGCGUGACGGAGCAAUGCCGCGUGCAGGAUGAAGCCCUUCGGGGUGUAAACUGCUGUCAGGGUUUAGAAACACAAUGAUCAAACCCAAAGGAAGAGACGACUAACUCUGUGCCAGCAGUCGCGGUAAUACAGAGGUCUCGAGCGUUAGUCGG